This 465-nucleotide ribosomal RNA is filed under the name uncultured bacterium. RNAcentral's name for it is "partial 16S ribosomal RNA". It matches the Rfam family "Bacterial small subunit ribosomal RNA", at positions 28 to 507 of the family's 1533-position model. The record is from RNAcentral.
GACGAACGCUGGCGGCGUGCUUAACACAUGCAAGUCGAACGGAAAGGCCCUGCUUGCAGGGUACUCGAGUGGCGAACGGGUGAGUAACACGUGGGUUAUCUGCCCUGCACUUCGGGAUAAGCCUGGGAAACUGGGUCUAAUACCGGAUAGGAGCCAUUUUUAGUGUGAUGGUUGGAAAGUUUUUUCGGUGUAGGAUGAGCUCGCGGCCUAUCAGCUUGUUGGUGGGGUAAUGGCCUACCAAGGCGGCGACGGGUAGCCGGCCUGAGAGGGUGGACAGCCACAUUGGGACUGAGAUACGGCCCAGACUCCUACGGGAGACAGCAGUGGGGAAUAUUGCACAAUGGGCGCAAGCCUGAUGCAGCGACGCCGCGUGGGGGAUGACGGCCUUCGGGUUGUAAACUCCUUUCGCUAGGGACGAAGCUUUUUGUGACGGUACCUAGAUAAGAAGCACCGGCUAACUACGUG